GACGAACGCUGGCGGCGUGCUUAACACAUGCAAGUCGAACGGAAAGGCCCUGCUUUUGUGGGGUGCUCGAGUGGCGAACGGGUGUGUAACACGCGAGUAACCUGCACUUGACUUUGGGAUAACUUCAGGAAACUGGGGCUCAUACCCGAUAGGAGCUACUGCUGCAUGGUGGGGGUUGGAAAGUUUCGGCGGUUGGGGAUGGACUCGCGGGUUAUGAGCUUGUUGGUGAGGUAGUGGAUUACAAAGGCUUUGACGGGUAGCCGGCCUGAGAGGGUGACCGGCCACAUUGGGACUGAGAGACGGCCCAGACUCCUACGGGAGGCAGCAGGGGGGAACAUUGCACAAUGGGCGGAAGUCUGAUGCAGCAACGUCGCGAUCGGAAUGACGGCCUUCUGGGUGUAAACCGCUGUCUCCUUUGAAGAAGCGUUAGUGACGGUAAUUGGUAAAGAAGCACCGGCUAACUACGUG
RNAcentral lists this ribosomal RNA (468 nucleotides) under uncultured bacterium. Its description in RNAcentral is "partial 16S ribosomal RNA". It matches the Rfam family "Bacterial small subunit ribosomal RNA", at positions 28 to 507 of the family's 1533-position model. The record is from RNAcentral.